AGUGAACGCUGGCGGUAGGCCUAACACAUGCAAGUCGAACGGCAGCACAGUAAGAGCUUGCUCUUACGGGUGGCGAGUGGCGGACGGGUGAGGAAUACAUCGGAAUCUACUUUUUCGUGGGGGAUAACGUAGGGAAACUUACGCUAAUACCGCAUACGACCUACGGGUGAAAGCAGGGGAUCUUCGGACCUUGCGCGAUUGAAUGAGCCGAUGUCGGAUUAGCUAGUUGGCGGGGUAAAGGCCCACCAAGGCGACGAUCCGUAGCUGGUCUAAGAGGAUGAUCAGCCACACUGGAACUGAGACACGGUCCAGACUCCUACGGGAGGCAGCAGUGGGGAAUAGUGGACAAUGGGCGCAAGCCUGAUCCAGCCAUACCGCGUGGGUGAAGAAGGCCUUCGGGUUGUAAAGCCCUUUUGUUGGGAAAGAAAAGCAGCAGGUUAAUACCCCGCUGUUCUGACGGUACCCAAAGAAUAAGCACCGGCUAACUUCGUG
RNAcentral lists this ribosomal RNA (492 nucleotides) under uncultured bacterium. RNAcentral describes it as "partial 16S ribosomal RNA". It matches the Rfam family "Bacterial small subunit ribosomal RNA", at positions 29 to 507 of the family's 1533-position model. The record is from RNAcentral.